This is a long non-coding RNA of Myotis myotis, 647 nucleotides long. RefSeq lists it as uncharacterized. Lineage: Eukaryota; Metazoa; Chordata; Mammalia; Chiroptera; Vespertilionidae. The transcript has 3 exons. The record is from RefSeq and is a predicted model, not a curated record.
CCCUUUCUCUCCCUGCUCCCUUUCCUCCCCCCUCACCAGGCAACCCAAGCCAACCAGCUCCCUGGCUUUCAGAGCUCAGCCAGAGGGGAGGGACCAGCAAGAGAUUAAAAUGAGGAAGGAAGAGUGUGAAUUCCAGUGGAGUGAUGUGCCUGCUGUUUCUAGCCAGAAUUCUAGAUUCUUUGUAGUUUAAUUGGGACCUUGGCUGAAAGAAUCACCUGAAUGAUAGCAAGUUUCAACACUGUCCCAUCAACUCACCAAUACAUCAACUACUUCAGCUGAAUUCUUCUUCCAGCUUUCUGGUUCCAGACCAAGAUGGAAUCAUGGAUGGAGUACCCUUCAAUUUUAAGAACGGCUAAAAGUUCUGGACAUGGCGCAUAAAGCAAAUAUAAGAAGACUCUGAAAUGUGGAGAGAAGAAGGCAAGUGACUAAGGAUCUUAGGAUUGAGGAAUGACAAGGCAACACGUUCCCUGAGCUUUCUUUUUGCCUCCUGGACUGAGUGUUGGAGAAGCUGGAAACUGGAAGCACCACGGGGACAGGUGUUUUUAAAAAAAUCUCCAGGGUGGUGAGCACACAAUACAGUGUAUGAUGGUGUAUUAAGCACCUGGAACCUGUAUAACUUGUUAACCAGUGUCACCCCAAUAACUCAA